GGUAGAGAGAGCCCGGCCACCGCUGCCCCUCGCGGGGCGAGCGAGGAAAGUCCCCCCACCGUCCGGGCAGGCGACUGGACGCAAGUCCAGAGCGGGAGACCGCUGGCGCUGGAACAGAAACGACACCCCUCACCGCGAGCAAGGACGCGCGCGAACCGACCCGCGAGGGAAGGGAGUUAACCCGCAGAGCGCUGACCGGUGAGAACGGAUGGAACGGCGAAUCCUCGCCGGUGCAAGUCCACGCCACAAGGUAGCCCGGACACGGACGUGGACGCUCAGCCGAAUGCCGGGCCGAACAGAAGGGGGCUUACUCCUCUCAACC
RNAcentral lists this RNase P RNA (322 nucleotides) under Halorubellus sp. JP-L1. Its description in RNAcentral is "Archaeal RNase P". It matches the Rfam family "Archaeal RNase P". From Rfam's summary of the family: Ribonuclease P (RNase P) is a ubiquitous endoribonuclease, found in archaea, bacteria and eukarya as well as chloroplasts and mitochondria. Its best characterised activity is the generation of mature 5'-ends of tRNAs by cleaving the 5'-leader elements of precursor-tRNAs. Cellular RNase Ps are ribonucleoproteins. Lineage: Archaea; Methanobacteriati; Methanobacteriota; Halobacteria; Halobacteriales; Halorubellaceae. The record is from Rfam by way of RNAcentral.